UCUCCGUAGGUGAACCUGCGGAGGGAUCAUUACAGAGUUCUCGCCCUCGCGGGUAGAUCUCCCACCCACUGUUAUCGUUACUGUGUUACUUUACCGGGCCACCGGAAGCCGCUCGGCCGAACGACCCGGCUGGCGCCGCCCCCCCAGAUGCCCCACAAACUCUGGAUGCUAACGUCGUCUGAGUACAAUAUAAUAGAUAAAACAUUAAACAACCGAUCGCUUGGUUCUUGCAUCGAGGAAGAACCAAGCAGAACGGAAACACGCCCGUACUCCAUUCAC
RNAcentral lists this unclassified non-coding RNA (279 nucleotides) under plant metagenome. RNAcentral's name for it is "partial contains small subunit ribosomal RNA, internal transcribed spacer 1, and 5.8S ribosomal RNA". The record is from RNAcentral.